ACUCCUACGGGAGGCAGCAGUGGGGAAUAUUGCACAAUGGGGGAAACCCUGAUGCAGCCAUGCCGCGUGUGUGAAGAAGGCCUUCGGGUUGUAAAGCACUUUCAGUAGGGAGGAAGGUAGUGUAGUUAACACCUGCAUUAUUUGACGUUACCUACAGAAGAAGCACCGGCUAACUCCGUGCCAGCAGCCGCGGUAAUACGGAGGGUGCGAGCGUUAAUCGGAAUUACUGGGCGUAAAGCGCAUGCAGGCGGCCUGUUAAGUCAGAUGUGAAAGCCCGGGGCUUAACCUCGGAAUUGCAUUUGAAACUGGCAGGCUAGAGUCUUGUAGAGGGGUUAGAAUUUCAGGUGUAGCGGUGAAAUGCGUAGAGAUCUGAAGGAAUACCGAGUGGCGAAGGCGGCCCCUGGACAAAGACUGACGCUCAGAUGCGAAAGCGUGGGAGCAAACAGGAUUAGAUACCCCGUGGUAGAUGUCA
This 472-nucleotide ribosomal RNA is filed under the name uncultured bacterium. RNAcentral describes it as "bacterial SSU rRNA". It matches the Rfam family "Bacterial small subunit ribosomal RNA", at positions 335 to 797 of the family's 1533-position model. The record is from RNAcentral.